This 589-nucleotide long non-coding RNA is filed under the name Heterocephalus glaber (naked mole-rat). RNAcentral describes it as "lncRNA (ENSHGLG00000047010.1)". Lineage: Eukaryota; Metazoa; Chordata; Mammalia; Rodentia; Bathyergidae. The record is from RNAcentral.
UGGACAACUGAGCCUGGGAGAGGGGAGUGGAACUGAAAAUAAAGAAAGCAGGGACCCGUGGUGUCUGAGCUGGUGUGGGUUCAUUUUUGAUCAUGUGACACACAACAGUUGUCAUGCUGCCCCUUCUAUGGACCAAGAACCUGUGGCUCAGAGAGGUAUUGUAAAUGAUCAAGACACAGCCUCGAUUGCUGAAGGCGCAAAGUCAUGGCCCCUCCAAGGUCAUUCAAGGCUCUGGAAAGUGAGUCAACUGAUAGCGUGCAGCAGCUCAUGGCUUAUUAGGCAGCAACACUGUGCACACCCCAGAGCUUCCAUUUUCCAACCCAGCCAGUGGGAAGUGUGUUCUCGAAGCCACAAAGAACCCACGCAGAGAGCGCCGCAGAGCAGAAGGAAACCAGCGGGUAGCAGAGAUAACUGCGUCCAGAGAGGGAGUGGGAUCUGCCCAGAGCUGCCCAGCAGACCAGCAGAACCCAGUUUGAGAAUGUCAUGUUUUGAUCAUCCCCUCUGCGGGCCCCCACACAACACACGCCCACUGGCCUUAGGUGUCCCAGGAGGGGCCCUGGAUGUGGCUGCUGCUUUACCUCGAAUGUAG